UGUAUUUAUUAGAUAAAAAACCAAUGCCCUUCGGGGCUUUUUGGUGGUUCAUGAUAACUUUACGGAUCGCAUAGCCUUGCGCUGGCGACGGUUCAUUCAAAUUUCUGCCCUAUCAACUUUCGAUGGUAAGGUAUUGGCUUACCAUGGUUUCAACGGGUAACGGGGAAUUAGGGUUCGAUUCCGGAGAGGGAGCCUGAGAAACGGCUACCACAUCCAAGGAAGGCAGCAGGCGCGCAAAUUACCCAAUCCCGACACGGGGAGGUAGUGACAAUAAAUACUGAUACAGGGCUCUUUUGGGUCUUGUAAUUGGAAUGAGUACAAUUUAAACCUCUUAACGAGGAACAAUUGGAGGGCAAGUCUGGUGCCAGCAGCCGCGGUAAUUCCAGCUCCAAUAGCGUAUAUUAAAGUUGUUGCAGUUAAAAAGCUCGUAGUUGAAAACUUGGGCCUGGCUGGCGGGUCCGCCUCACCGCGUGCACUCGUCCGGCCGGGC
Molecule: ribosomal RNA, 490 nt
Filed under: uncultured eukaryote
Lineage: Eukaryota
Description: SSU rRNA
Rfam family: Eukaryotic small subunit ribosomal RNA
Source: RNAcentral